UACGUAGGGAGCAAGCGUUGUCCGGAAUCAUUGGGCGUAAAGCGCACGUAGGCGGCUUAGCAAGUCGGAAGUGAAAUCCCUCGGCUCAACCAAGGAAGUGCUUUCGAAACUGCUGAGCUUGAGUACUUAAGAGGAUCGCGGAAUUCCCGGUGUAGAGGUGAAAUUCGUAGAUAUUCGGAAGAACACCAGUGGCGAAGGCGGCUCACUGGACUGGUAUUGACGCUGAGGUGCGAAAGCGUGGGGAGCAAACAGG
RNAcentral lists this ribosomal RNA (253 nucleotides) under uncultured bacterium. Its description in RNAcentral is "partial 16S ribosomal RNA". It matches the Rfam family "Bacterial small subunit ribosomal RNA", at positions 524 to 776 of the family's 1533-position model. The record is from RNAcentral.